UACAGAGGGGGCAAGCGUUGUUCGGAGUUACUGGGCGUAAAGAGUGCGUAGGCGGUUUUCUAAGUUUGGUGUGAAAUCUCCCGGCUCAACCCGGGAACUGCGUCCGAUACUGGCAGGCUUGAAUCCGGGAGAGGGAUGCGGAAUUCCAGGUGUAGCGGUGAAAUGCGUAGAUAUCUGGAGGAACACCGGUGGCGAAGGCGGCAUCCUGGACCGGCAUUGACGCUGAGGCGCGAAAGCCAGGGGAGCAAACGGG
RNAcentral lists this ribosomal RNA (253 nucleotides) under uncultured bacterium. RNAcentral describes it as "partial 16S ribosomal RNA". It matches the Rfam family "Bacterial small subunit ribosomal RNA", at positions 524 to 776 of the family's 1533-position model. The record is from RNAcentral.